GUUAUCGUGGCAGAACCGGGUCAUUGCAAAAGACUUAAACUCUUUCGACAGGGGUUCAAAUCCCCUCCAUAACU
Molecule: transfer RNA, 74 nt
Filed under: Benthosema glaciale
Lineage: Eukaryota; Metazoa; Chordata; Actinopteri; Myctophiformes; Myctophidae
Description: tRNA-Leu (UUR)
Rfam family: tRNA
About the family: Transfer RNA (tRNA) molecules are approximately 80 nucleotides in length. Their secondary structure includes four short double-helical elements and three loops (D, anti-codon, and T loops).
Source: RNAcentral